UUAAAUUGAAGAGUUUGAUCAUGGCUCAGAUUGAACGCUGGCGGCAGGCCUAACACAUGCAAGUCGAGCGGUAGCACAGGAGAGCUUGCUCUCCGGGUGACGAGCGGCGGACGGGUGAGUAAUGUCUGGGAAACUGCCUGAUGGAGGGGGAUAACUACUGGAAACGGUAGCUAAUACCGCAUAACGUCUACGGACCAAAGUGGGGGACCUUCGGGCCUCACGCCAUCAGAUGUGCCCAGAUGGGAUUAGCUAGUAGGUGGGGUAAUGGCUCACCUAGGCGACGAUCCCUAGCUGGUCUGAGAGGAUGACCAGCCACACUGGAACUGAGACACGGUCCAGACUCCUACGGGAGGCAGCAGUGGGGAAUAUUGCACAAUGGGCGCAAGCCUGAUGCAGCCAUGCCGCGUGUGUGAAGAAGGCCUUAGGGUUGUAAAGCACUUUCAGCGAGGAGGAAGGGUAGUGUGUUAAUAGCACAUUGCAUUGACGUUACUCGCAGAAGAAGCACCGGCUAACUCCGUGCCAGCAGCCGCGGUAAUACGGAGGGUGCAAGCGUUAAUCGGAAUUACUGGGCGUAAAGCGCACGCAGGCGGUUUGUUAAGUCAGAUGUGAAAUCCCCGCGCUUAACGUGGGAACUGCAUUUGAAACUGGCAAGCUAGAGUCUUGUAGAGGGGGGUAGAAUUCCAGGUGUAGCGGUGAAAUGCGUAGAGAUCUGGAGGAAUACCGGUGGCGAAGGCGGCCCCCUGGACAAAGACUGACGCUCAGGUGCGAAAGCGUGGGGAGCAAACAGGAUUAGAUACCCUGGUAGUCCACGCUGUAAACGAUGUCGAUUUGGAGGUUGUGCCCUUGAGGCGUGGCUUCCGGAGCUAACGCGUUAAAUCGACCGCCUGGGGAGUACGGCCGCAAGGUUAAAACUCAAAUGAAUUGACGGGGGCCCGCACAAGCGGUGGAGCAUGUGGUUUAAUUCGAUGCAACGCGAAGAACCUUACCUACUCUUGACAUCCAGAGAAUUCGCUAGAGAUAGCUUAGUGCCUUCGGGAACUCUGAGACAGGUGCUGCAUGGCUGUCGUCAGCUCGUGUUGUGAAAUGUUGGGUUAAGUCCCGCAACGAGCGCAACCCUUAUCCUUUGUUGCCAGCGAUUCGGUCGGGAACUCAAAGGAGACUGCCGGUGAUAAACCGGAGGAAGGUGGGGAUGACGUCAAGUCAUCAUGGCCCUUACGAGUAGGGCUACACACGUGCUACAAUGGCGUAUACAAAGAGAAGCGAACUCGCGAGAGCAAGCGGACCUCAUAAAGUACGUCGUAGUCCGGAUUGGAGUCUGCAACUCGACUCCAUGAAGUCGGAAUCGCUAGUAAUCGUAGAUCAGAAUGCUACGGUGAAUACGUUCCCGGGCCUUGUACACACCGCCCGUCACACCAUGGGAGUGGGUUGCAAAAGAAGUAGGUAGCUUAACCUUCGGGAGGGCGCUUACCACUUUGUGAUUCAUGACUGGGGUGAAGUCGUAACAAGGUAACCGUAGGGGAACCUGCGGUUGGAUCACCUCCUUA
This 1544-nucleotide ribosomal RNA is filed under the name Serratia sp. AS12. Its description in RNAcentral is "16S ribosomal RNA". It matches the Rfam family "Bacterial small subunit ribosomal RNA". The record is from RNAcentral. Lineage: Bacteria; Pseudomonadati; Pseudomonadota; Gammaproteobacteria; Enterobacterales; Yersiniaceae.